Molecule: long non-coding RNA, 333 nt
Filed under: Brachypodium distachyon (stiff brome)
Lineage: Eukaryota; Viridiplantae; Streptophyta; Magnoliopsida; Poales; Poaceae
Description: long non-coding RNA (BDIS_LNC004169)
Source: RNAcentral
UCGCUGACCGAGGGCCAAUUUUUUUUUUCUCUUUCCAUAUGCUUUUAUUUGCUGGGAUCCUUUUAUUUGGCAUCUCCGUCGUCCCUCGUAAGGUUCUAUUGCAUCACACAUGUCUUUUAUUGCGCACCAAGAUACAUUUGGUCUCUCAACUACGUGUUUGAAUUCAUGAAAAGCUCGAAGCUAGCCCAUUUCCGAACACACCUUAGAAUAAUUUUUCCAACUCCUGGACCUCGUUAGUUUCUAGUCGAUGGGGUCAGUUAUAGUUAAUCUAAACCUAAUUGUUAGAUUCGUAACAUGAACUCUCCAUCUCGUUUGCCGUAAUAAAAUCGUGUG